GUCUAUGGCCAUACCACCCUGAAUUUGCCACCAUCUUGACUGAUCUCCGAAGCUAAGCAGGGUUGGGCCUGGUUAGUAUGUGGAUGGAAGAAUACAGCAGAACUCUGUUCCAAGCUAAGACU
Cricetulus griseus (Chinese hamster) is the source of this 122-nucleotide ribosomal RNA. NCBI's taxonomy places the organism in Eukaryota, Metazoa, Chordata, Mammalia, Rodentia, Cricetidae. The record is from Ensembl.